UGUCAUCACACACAACAUAGUUACACUGCCAUUUAAGCCUGCAGCUACGCCAUCAAUUGUCGCCGCCAGAUUCGUUCAUCUCUCAGUUCCCCCUACUCCUGAUCCCCUCUCACUUCUGUUCCCUUCUCAGCGCAGCUGGCGGCAGGACAUGCCUAGUCCUCAGCCUUAAGAAGUGCUACAAACUUCUGCCUUGUCUGCUCUCUUGUGGCUGACAGCCCCUGUCCUGCGGCCUCAGAAAGCAGCAGCGGUGGCAGUGGCCAGACUGUAGUCACCCGCUCAGCUCACUGCCCUCCCUAGUCGGCCAUGAUAACGAAGCAUGCUACAAUUCUCCUUCCCGGAGCCAGAGAAGUACUGGUGAUAAGGAAGGCUGGGAGAGAAAGAAGAUACUGUAUGUCUGCAAGUUUGCUGAAGAUCAUCAUCUCCUGGCUUCUAGCAGCAACUAUUCAGCCUCCCACCACAGACCCUUCUGCUUCCUGAUACAGACUCGCAAGGGGCACUACACAUAGCACCAGGUCUUCAACUGGAUCCUUCAGUCUCUAGUGUGCAGACAGACCCUCUGCACUCUUCCACACCUGUCUCUGUGGGCAGCUAUUAUAAGCCAAUCUUGUAAAGUCUUAUAUAUUUGUAUACAUUGUACUAUAUGUGUUUUUCUAGUUAGCACUGACUGAUACAUUAUUCUUAUUGUGAUAACUUGAAUUUUAAUGGUUGUUUUACUUCUGUUAACUGUAAGUUCUUUGAUAUUGAAGAUAGUCAAAGAGGGGCUGGGGGCUUAGCUCAGCGGCAUAAACACUUGCCUUGCAAGUGUGAGGUCAUGAGUUUGAUGCCCAGUACAAAAAAAGGUCAAAGAAUGAGCCUAAUGUAAGAUACCUAUUAGAAGACCCUAGAAGUGUUAAAAAAGUCUGACCAUAUUACCAGUUUGCAAAUAACAAGAAUAUACACUAAGUUAAUUCUGUAGUGAUUCAAAGAUGUAAUAUGAUAUUAUAAACAUCAGCCAAAGUAUUUCAGAAAUGUACGGGUACUGGCUAAAAGUGAUAUUAAGAUUGAAAAAGUGCAGGUCAAAAUGAAUAGAUUUUAAAAUUACACAUUUCCAAAAAUAAAAAUUUUGUAAUACCAGGUCUCUCAUUCAAUUUUUUCCUCCAAUAUACAUAUCCUAUUGUAUAGGCCCUUGGAGAGACACCCACACUAUUCUCAGUUAACUAAAUCCAUUCUUCUGGCUCACAAUACUGAACAAACACAAUAAUUUUAUUGAAAUUAUUCUCUCAAAUAAUUUCUACCUAAAAAAAAAACCCCAUAAUAUCUGAAAACUCAUUUUUUAGUUUAUUUUGAAACAGUCCUUUUGGUAUUACCUCUUUUAAUUAUAUUUGACUCUUUUAGUUAUUUGCAUAUUUAUUUAUAUAUCAUAGCUUAUUUAAAUUCUUUUGCUUUGUUAUUUAGUAAAAUAUAAUGAUCAUCUCCAUAUCCCAGAAAAAAAUCAGAUUAUGGAGGGAAGAUCAUUUAAGUAAUGUUUUUGUUAUUGUAACUGAAAAUUUCUUUUCAUAAGAAAAUACUAGUGCAUUAAAAAUUCCUGUGGGUCUGAGAAAUGUUGAUUGGUUCUAGAAAACCUUAUAUUAGUAAAAAUAUACAAUAUUUUUACUGUGAUACUAGAAAAAUAUACUUAAUAAUAAGCAUGUGUACUGAAGAGGAGAUACAACUUUCCUAAUUACUUGUAACAAUAAAGUUACAAGUUCUAUUGGUAAGAGCAAUUGAAGAAUGGUGGAUUGUCCAAUUCAUUAAAAUUUUGGAAGUACUUAAACAAUAAAAUGUACAGAACUAAAGAAGGGAACAGUAUAUCUUUCCUUUUCAAAUAUGAGAAAAUUAUCUGAGGACAAAUAUGUAAAUGUUAUGACAGUUAUUUUCUAUGCUAUUUCUCAAAAUUUUGCCUGUUAUUAACCCUUAAGAGAUUCUAGGGCUGAGAGUUUAGCUCAGUAGUGCAAGCACCUGCCUGGCAAGGGCGAGAUCAUGAGUUUGAUCCCCAGUACCAAAUAAAUAAAUAAAUGUUUCUAUGAUUUUAUGUAAUUAAUAUCACAACCAAUUUCUUUCUUUUCUUUCUUUUUUUUUUUUUUUUUUUUUGUCUUUUUUGAGACAGGGUUUCACUAUGCAGUUCAGGCUGACCCUGAGCUCACUUUGUAGCCCAGGCUGGUUUUGAACUUGCAAUGAUCCGCCUGGAUUACAGGCAUGAGUCACCACCCCCAACUUUAAUUUCUAAUCAAAAGCAUUUUCUAUCACAUAUCUUUCAAAUUUCAUCAGUUGCACUACAGAAAUGAUUCAGAGUUUCAGUGUCACUUUGUUUCAUCUAGAAUUACCAUUUUUUCUGACCUAGUUAAAAGUUGCUCUUCUAGAAGCUCAGGUCAAAUGUUGCUGUGAAAUCUUCGCAAACCUUUCUCACAAGCAGAAUUUGUUCCUUUCUUUAAUGUGCAUUAUUCUUUAUCCUAUUUCUUUCAGACCUUGUAUCUCGCUAUAUUACAAUUAUAUUUUAUAUCAGUAGGCUAUCAUUAAGAAACUCAUUAACUUUCUAUAACAUGAAAGAAAUCCAAAGGAAAGCAGUUAAUGUUGUCAAAGUAGUUCCUUUCCUUUUUGUUCUAUAUCUUCCAAGUUCAAACUCUGCUUUUCUAGCUCAGGCUUCCCAUAGUAUAACAAAAUAAUUUGCUGUAACUCCAGACAUCACAUCAAUGUCCUAAUCAAGGGUAAAUAAAUGGCAAUGCAAAAUGUUCUCUCAGCAGUCUCUACUCAGCCAAUCCCUGCCAUGCACGAACACAUAUACACACAGCUAUGCACAGAAUUAUGAUACUUUCUAAGAAGUCCCGCUCAACCUCUAUCCAGAUGUCAAUGUCCUAUAUUUAGUCUAUGUGCUCCCUUAUAUGAAAAAAAGUUGGAAAUUUAAGGUUUUAUCUUCCUCCUGGAUACAUAGCCAUCCUCAAUAAAAUCAGGUCUUUGUUACUCAAAAACAGCAGGUAGAAAGGAUAUAUAAUAUGUAUUUAGCAGCCUCUGCCACAUUUUCCCUACCACAUCUCUUUUCUUAUCUAUGUUGUAAUAUCCUGAGAGAUUUAGAGUAUGUGCCAUCCAUUUUAUAUUUCUAGGGUUUAGCACAGUACAUGAUAUACAGGUUUUAACUGUUAUUUCUUUCUUCCUUUUAUGAAGGGCUAUUCCACGUAAUCUGUAUAGAAAAAAUCCAUGUUUUGCAAGUAUAAAACUAUGUGUUUUAUGCUGAUUUUAUCAUGUGUUUGAUUAUUUAAGAAAAAAAUUUUAUCACUUAUGAAAAAUGAUAAUAGUUAUCAAUCAUCAUGUAACCUAUGUUAAUUUAUGUUAUUUAUUAUUAUAGUUCACCGUCAUUGUUGAUAAUCAUGUAAUUUAUGUUUAUUUUUCAAUAUUUUGUUGCUUUCAAGUGAGUUUCCAACUAUUGAUUUACAUGAAUAUUCUAAUUGCUCAAGUACAUAGAUGACUUUUUCCUUAAGAUUGAAUCCUAAAUGUAAACUGAAAUAAAAUAACUUUCAAGAUAUUCUUUGCUACUAAAAUAAGUGUAAAUUUUUUGGCUUUAUUAUUCAUAAUUGCAUGGGAAGAGUCGUUCAAUUGGAAGUGAUGUUAAAUAAGUCUUGCCUAGGUUAAAUUUCUAUGGCCAAAAUGUUAUUAAUAUAAAUAUUUCAGAUAUUGCUGUGUGUGAAGGACCUACACAUUUCUCAGUGUUUUUAUUCUGCGUGUCUCUGAAUCCUGGUGGUGCUUUGCCUGAGGAUAUUAGGCAACUGCAGCAGAAUGUUAUCAGUUAUACUUUUAGAUACUAGUUUAAAUGUUUACUUGGCCAGAAACUUCUUAUGCAUUUGACUCUAGUAUCUUUUAAGUCAGUAGUUUUCAAUUAGAGAUGCAUACUAGAUUUCUAUAUAAAGUUUAAUUAAAAUUCAGAAUUUAUUGGACCUGUUCCAGAUUUGCCUAAUCUCUUUGCUUGAUAUUUGUCAGUAUACUAUAUCUUCUUCCUAUAUGUUUGAUCUAUUCGUGGCAUAGUAUAUACAUUAUGUUUCUGUAUCAUUAUAUGUUACAUCUCGUUUUUUAUUUAUAAAAAUUGUGUUCACCCUUUCUUUUUGUAAAUCAUAUAUAACAUUUGUUGUCUUCAUUGGAAAUGAACUAAUUAUUGUCUUUAGAUAUUUUAUCAAAAAUGUGAAUUGGCUUUAUUAUUGGUAUCGUCUCUAAUGUUUCACAUUCUGGUCCAUUAAGUUGUCCUCUAGGGAAAAUAAUCAGUACAUAAUUUGUCAGUAGGUAAAUUAAGAAAAAGGAAACUCUGAUUCAAGAACUAAAACAUUGGGUUGUCUCAAAUUUUUUCUUUAUUUGAUAAAAUGAGAAGUUGAAA
This is a long non-coding RNA of Cavia porcellus (domestic guinea pig), 4375 nucleotides long. RefSeq lists it as uncharacterized. Lineage: Eukaryota; Metazoa; Chordata; Mammalia; Rodentia; Caviidae. The transcript is spliced from 3 exons. The record is from RefSeq and is a predicted model, not a curated record.